CCCGCCUCACGCCUAGUGUUCCCGAGAUCGGCCUUGGAUCCACCGGGACCCUAAGCGAGAUGAAGUUCCUGUGGAGGCUGUUCUAGACACACGUUUGAGUUGAAAAUCCAGCUUCAAGACGGAGAAGAAGAAAAAAAAAGGAGUGUAGCAAGGUAAGCAGUAUUUGGAGUAAUGAGUCCCUGAACAAAGGAUGGGUCGAUAUCAGAAGGAACAGUCAGUAUCUGGUGUUGCCUCCAGCUGCUUUAAGUCCUGCAGUGUAUAUCAUCCUCAUGGACUGCACCAGAUUGGUCAGUUCUUGCUGUGAGAUGCUCCCUCAC
This is a long non-coding RNA of Ictalurus punctatus (channel catfish), 317 nucleotides long. The record is from Ensembl. Lineage: Eukaryota; Metazoa; Chordata; Actinopteri; Siluriformes; Ictaluridae.